Caenorhabditis elegans is the source of this 21-nucleotide non-coding RNA. Lineage: Eukaryota; Metazoa; Nematoda; Chromadorea; Rhabditida; Rhabditidae. The record is from Ensembl.
UCUGAAUUCUCUCUCCAACCU